CAGCAGCCGCGGGAAUACGAAGGGUGCAAGCGUUAAUCGGAAUUACUGGGCGUAAAGCGUGCGUAGGCGGUUUGUUAAGUCUGUUGUGAAAUUCCCGGGCUCAACCUGGGAAUGGCAAUGGAUACUGGCAAGCUAGAGUGUGUCAGAGGAUGGUGGAAUUCCCGGUGUAGCGGUGAAAUGCGUAGAGAUCGGGAGGAACAUCAGUGGCGAAGGCGGCCAUCUGGGACAACACUGACGCUGAGGCACGAAAGCGUGGGGAGCAAACAGGAUUAGAUACCCGUGUAGUCCCUGUCUCUUAUAC
Molecule: ribosomal RNA, 301 nt
Filed under: uncultured bacterium
Lineage: Bacteria
Description: partial 16S ribosomal RNA
Rfam family: Bacterial small subunit ribosomal RNA
Source: RNAcentral